CUGUAGAUUUCAUGCCUAGCGGUGCUCAUUGGGGUUGUCCUUACUUCCUCUCGCAACUGAUAUUCAGGUGUGGGGGUGCUUGUAGGCAUCGUCCUAGUGACGCGGUACGUGAUAGCGUGUGAGUGGUUGUUGGUUUGCGUGGUUGGCGGGCUCUCUGCUUGUGCACUGAACCGUUCAGCAGCAUGCCUCCUCAUUGUUUGCUCCGAGUGCAGCAUGUGCCUCGGGCGAUUUGCGGUCCCUGUGCUGGAUUCCUAUUCGACGGUAUUAUGGUUGUCCUUUAACGAGYGCUUUUCGCUCUACGUCCGUGAAAGGAGGUCGAGCGGGCUGUGAAACCUGGUUCGUUAUCCACCCGUCAGGCGAGAACAAGCACGAUAGGGCAGGAUUACGAUCUCAGGUUGGGCUCUUGGAUGCGGAAUGCUGUGUGGGUGGGAGUCGAUGCUAAAACGCUGCACACCCAAGGCAUUGUAUGCUAAGCUGGGAUGACAUUCGAGUGCGACGUGACUCUUUCUUUACUGAAAGGGCUCACGUGCGUGUCGGUGUCGAUCUGAGGAAUGCUACCUGGUUGAUCCUGCCAGUAGUCAUAUGCUUGUCUCAAAGAUUAAGCCAUGCAUGUGUAAGUAUGAACUAAUUCAGACUGUGA
Molecule: unclassified non-coding RNA, 640 nt
Filed under: Mangleticornia ecuadorensis
Lineage: Eukaryota; Viridiplantae; Streptophyta; Magnoliopsida; Caryophyllales; Amaranthaceae
Description: partial contains external transcribed spacer and 18S ribosomal RNA
Rfam family: Eukaryotic small subunit ribosomal RNA (bases 556-640)
Source: RNAcentral